AGAUCGAAUGAAGAGAUUCAUCGUCAGCUAAUCCGGUAUUGAUGCAGGCUAYGAUGUGAUAAUAGAAUCCUCGUGGUCACUAGAUUAUACGUGCNUGUAUCAUUUUUGCKGGWUAUGUUUUACUCUAGUAGUGCGGAURUAAUGCCGUCGCUGGACAAAGUCUGCUGUUAGCKGGUAAUGUCUUUAACUGGCUUAUUUUUACCGGUUAGCGAUGCUACUGCUUUGGGUACUUACAGGACCCGUCUUGAAACACGGACCAAGGAGUCUAACAUGUGCGCGAGUCAUUGGGAUAUAUUUAUAUGAUUGAAACCUAAAGGCGUAAUGAAAGUGUAGAUUGUCUUAAGACAAUUAAGGGAAGAUGGGUUGCGUUACGAUGUAAUCCCGCAUUCCCGGGACGUUCUAU
Molecule: ribosomal RNA, 403 nt
Filed under: Parapanteles sp. B KSP-2020
Lineage: Eukaryota; Metazoa; Arthropoda; Insecta; Hymenoptera; Braconidae
Description: partial 28S ribosomal RNA
Source: RNAcentral